This is a non-coding RNA of Drosophila melanogaster (fruit fly), 649 nucleotides long. NCBI's taxonomy places the organism in Eukaryota, Metazoa, Arthropoda, Insecta, Diptera, Drosophilidae. The record is from Ensembl.
AUUUCAAACGAGUAAAUAUGACACGAGUUGCAAGCAUCGUCAUCGACAGCUGCUGACCGUUAGGAUCUUGUAUCUUUUGUUUGGGAAAAGCGUGCCGAUCUCUGUGGAAUUGGAUAGAUGAGUGAGUGGCCGGUAGCCCAAACAAUUGAUUGCGCCGAAUGCGGUUACCAGAUGACUUUAUCCAUUUAGCAACGAGCCCCCCGCCUGGCGGAGUAUCAGCAAUAGCUGGAUGCCAAAUUCCCCAUGGGAUCUGAUCACCAGGCCUUUAGGCUGUCAACACGAUUUGGCCAAAACAAGAAGUGGCCCACAAUUGCAGCCAAAAAUGGAGUUGACAGCGAGGGUAGAAUAGGCAGGAUAUCUGAAAAGGAACCUCUGUCAGCUGGAGACGUCCUGGGUACUGUUGUAAAAAUUGCAGCUACUGCGGAAGCAACAAUGAAGAGGGCUUGUCCUACUAAAUGGCACAAGAAAUGCCCACACUUUGCACCCAAAUUGUACAUCUGUAUUUCCGUCAGUAUCCUUGCAUCUGUUUGUAUGUGUGUGCGUGUGCGAUAAUCCCGGCCAGAGAAUUUGCACACAUGCAAAUUACAUGUACACUGAGGAAAAUGAUAAGACACUUUUCAAUUAUCCAUAUAAGAACGAUCCUUAAAGC